UGUCUGGACAUAUCAGUCCUUGCCUGGACAUAGACAAUUCAGGACAAGUUACUAUUUGUUUGCUCCAUUUAUUUUUUUUACACUGACAUGCUUCGUACUCAAUUGGAAAGAUAUCCAUCUCAAAUACUGAUGACAACAAAACUGCAGAAUACAACUCAUUUCUCUUGUGUAGGUUCAAGAGCAUUGUCCUUCACAAAUUUUGGGGAGGGGGCACAAGUACGAAACAACUGCCACCCAGAACCUGUGAAUAGGCUCAAGUCAUGCAGUCCCAAGAUUUUAUAUUAUCUGAUGGUAGUUAGGGCAGGGUUUGUGAAGAGGGAGAUUGUUGAUACAACUGUUGGAGUUUGGAGCCUCAACUAAAUUGCUCUAAUGGACUACUCCCUUUCCAUUGAGUCAGGGUUUGGCAUCUAGGCACCUUUGUGUUGAAAAAAGCAAACACAGACAUGAGGUCGAAAGUCAUAAAAGUUUGUACCUUGAGCGAGAAUAUAGUGGAAGAUAAACUUGGAAUAGUUUUCGGUAUUUGUAUUCCGUAUUCUUUAUAUUAACCUCAACUUCGUGCAAAAGCUAAAAGCCUACUUUCACAGCGGGAAAUGCUGGGUACAUGCUGUUUGACUUGUUGCUGAAAAUCCCGUGUCCAGGUUUAGGGUUUAGAGUGCCCCCUUGGACUAGGAGUGAAGCAACUACUGUGCAAUCAAGUCAAGGUCUUAAUCCUGCUUGCUUCUCUGCAACCAGUCAAGUGCGAUGAGCAUUGAAUCAUUCUGAGAUGCGUCAGACUAUAUAUAUUUUUAUAUUUAUAUUUGUAAGUAGUACUUUCUGUGCAAUGGGUACAAAUUGGCAAGUUGCAUCAUGUAAGCGAGUGAGUGACUGAGCCAAUCUAUUCGCAGAAGCCACCAAAUUAGUCUCUUGUUUUCUGCAUACAUUAUUUGCAUACAAAUCCGAAUAGGGUUUCAGCGAAGUGGUGCAAAGAGAGCCAUUAGGGUUGGGAUAUAAAGGUGGUGCCUCUCAAAACGAAGGUCAGAGUUGAUGAAUUUUGUCCGCUGUUCCUCACCUGCCGACUUUGUGGAAACAAUGCUUGUGAUUGCUUAAUGAUCAGCAUUUUUGGGGAGUGAGUUUUAUCCCGUGAAGAAGCACAAUUCCUUCUUAUUAAUUCGUUUCAGUUUGUUGCUUUUAUCCUAUUUUUUCGCUUGUAUUUAUGGUGGUUGAUGUUUUGUGUUGUCCUAGUGCUGUUGUCUCUUCAAAUAAAAACCCGGCCCAUGUCUGAAGAUUCAGAGCCUUCCAUCUCCGAGGAGCCCCUUUUUCCCAGACACAGGACAUGCAUGAUCGCACAGGUGGCAGUAGUUUUUGCAGUUCUAGAAGCCAGCUUCUGCAGGAUCACAGCUCUAUGUUAAAAAAUUUAUGGGUUUUUAUGUGUGGAUGCAUGGUGCCUAUCUAAUGACCAAUUGCGAUAAAUUAGCAUCUAAUUGAUGAGUGGACUUGGGCUGUCCCAUGGGGUACUGUGCAUGUUUCUGUAGGGUGCUUUCCUGCCUAAGGACAUUAUCUAUAUAAGUGGUGCUCCAGCUAGGCCUCAGCAGCAGCAGAAGAAAUGGUGCUUUUUCACUCUGCAGCCCUAAACCAUGGAGUCUUCAAAAGCUUCAGAAAUUACUGCAGGAUUUCAACAAUUCUUUAGUUACACCACAUCAAAUUCCUUUGCAUUGGAGAUGCUAUUCUAAGCACUAUGUGCAAGAGGUCACUGGGGACACAAUUCAAAGGCAUCACACAUGUCUGAACAUAGGUGCAAAAAAUGCACCAAGACAAAGCCAGUCGAUGAAUCCUUGACGACUCGCCUCACCGGAUGUUGAAUAGUUCCACCAAAAGAAAAAGAAAAAACCAUGUGAAAAGAAGACACAUGCAGAGAAUAACUAUGCAGAAUGUGAGGCUUCUGAGAUAAAAUUGCUGGAGACAACCGUUGAUCCAGCAGUCCUCAUGUACAGCUGCUUAGACACAAAAAAAAAGUUGCAACAAUGCAGAAAACAGGUGGCGAAACCGCGUGUCUCUCUUUAAUUGGUAUCCCUUAACUGCUCAGUUUCACAACCCUCAUGGCUCCGCCCAAAGCUUGAUUGAUUGUUUGUUUGUUGGUGGCUUGUUGUGUGCAAGCAAUGUUCUCGAAGGGUGUGCCAUCUGCUUGGCGAAUACGUCUCUUAAGCUCUCUCUUUCUCACACACAUACACUCUCUCCUGCUGACUCACAAUCUUAUCCCAAAGCUCUCAUGUGCGUCAUGAAGCAGCAAUCCA
Physcomitrium patens is the source of this 2270-nucleotide non-coding RNA. NCBI's taxonomy places the organism in Eukaryota, Viridiplantae, Streptophyta, Bryopsida, Funariales, Funariaceae. The record is from RefSeq and is a predicted model, not a curated record.